RNAcentral lists this ribosomal RNA (468 nucleotides) under uncultured bacterium. RNAcentral describes it as "partial 16S ribosomal RNA". It matches the Rfam family "Bacterial small subunit ribosomal RNA", at positions 28 to 507 of the family's 1533-position model. The record is from RNAcentral.
GACGAACGCUGGCGGCGUGCUUAACACAUGCAAGUCGAACGGAAAGGCCCUGCUGUUGUGGGGUGCUCGAGUGGCGAAAGGGGGAGUAACACGUGAGUAACCUGCCCUUGACUUUGGGAUAACUUCAGGAAACUGGGGCUAAUACCGGAUAGGAGCUCCUGCUGCAUGGUGGGGGUUGGAAAGUUUCGGCGGUUGGGGAUGGACUCGCGGCUUAUCAGCUUGUUGGUGGGGUAGUGGCUUACCAAGGCUUUGACGGGUAGCCGGCCUGAGAGGGUGACCGGCCACAUUGGGACUGAGAUACGGCCCAGACUCCUACGGGAGGCAGCAGUGGGGAAUAUUGCACAAUGGGCGGAAGCCUGAUGCAGCAACGCCGCGUGCGGGAUGACGGCCUUCGGGUUGUAAACCGCUUUCGCCUGUGACGAAGCGUGAGUGACGGUAAUGGGUAAAGAAGCACCGGCUAACUACGUG